UCUUGCUGAAUGAUUUGAUAUAGAAAAAUAAAGUAUUACAGGGGAAGGAAAAGACAAGGUAAAUGUUUCAACUAGAAGUUGGGAAUUAUUUGCUCGACCAAGUCCCAUUUGUUUUUCCAAUAAAUAUGGAAAUAGUUGUUUUAGGAAACAAAUGAGUAGUAUAACUAUAAAUACUUGGACACAUUCUAAUCUAAUAUUGGCAUAUCUAGAAUAAAUUCUCACACUUCCUCAUUUUGUAAGUUUAUCAACUUUAGUGUAGCCAAUUCCACUCCAGGUUAAACAAAUCAAACAAUAGGAAUAAAAUAAAAUGGUGCUAUGCUUCAUGUGAAAAUAUUUGACAGGAUUAUUUGAAAGUUGCCUAUAUCAGUCUUCUGUGAUCCUAAUUUUAUAAUCUUAUAACCACUUUUCAGGUUAAUUGAAUUUGAAAAGUAUUUUUAACUAGCUAUAACUAGUUCAAUGGAAAUCUAUAUUUAAUGGUGAUCCAUUUUAUUGCCUUAGAACCAGCCACAUACUUUAUUUAUGCUUCUUUGGGGUACGCUGGUAUGGCAUUAGAGACUUAAUUGUCAUAUCAAACCUUCUCUAAAACGUCUUCACUUAUAUAUUGUUUUCUCAAAUUGCCUUAUUGUGUACAAGACUUUGUUUGACAAACUAACUUGUGGAAUAAUCAAUAAACUUGAUAUAAUGGGUAAUUUUUCUCGACAAUGACAAUCCUAUGAAUAAACAUUUCAAAGUUACUCAUAUUCCUCCAUACUCAUCACCUUGUAUUUCCUCAUCUUGUAUGAAUUGCACCUUUUCGGACAAGCACAAUCUUCCCAACAGAUAUGGAAAGUGGUGACAAUCACACAUGACAAUUUCCAGUAAACUAAUUUACUGCCACUGCUUAGUUACAUUGACAUGCUGACCUUUUUCUUUGCCAUGAAUUUUUUUAUGGAAUCGUGGAUGUGGAUGGGAUGUACACUAUAUGUUCAAUUUUUGCACCUUAUUUGUUAAUACGAAAUAUCUGUGUUGACUCCACCAUUGAUCAAGCUUGCGGUACUUCCCUCCAGGUUCUUAUUUUGGUUCAGGGCAUAAAAUUUUUGUUUGCGCUAUGCAGUUAGUCAUGUUGACUGCUUCUUAGUCAUGAAACUUUGUAUCAUUUGAUUUUAGCACAGUACAUUAUUUUUGUUGCAUUUAUUGAUGACCAACUUUCAGUUCAUGAUCAAAUUUUAAAGUCCGUCUAUGGCAUUACUUACAGAGGUAUCGUUCCCUCUUGAAAUUUUGCAAUUUUAUAAAUAAACUAUACCAAUAAUUGGAGAGGGUGAAAAUGCUUUCAUGGCCAUCCUAUCCCAAAUUCUUAUUAUUUGUCUUUCUUUCUUCAUUUUUUCCUUUUGCAAAUAAUCCCAUCAGAUGGAGAAAACAUGACCUGUCAACUUAUUAAUGCAAAAUUGAUGCUUUUGGGUCCAGUCUAUCAAUUCUUGGGAAUUUGAGGUUUCUGAAUAUCUUAAGUUUACUUUCCAUCUGGAAUAUUGCAGUGGUAAUUCUUAUUUUUGGUUCUUAUAAUUGCAACAAGUCCUCGACACUAAUCUAAUCCAAACUUUCCUGCAGGGCUCUUAUUUCUGUUGCCUCCACUUCUUUUUCUGACAACGCUUUGUGCCAUGAUCCUCAAGUCAACUAGUAUAAAUGCCCUUGUAACAUAAAAAUGAGACAAUUGAUGUUCAAUUUAAUUACAGUGAAUUUCUAAGCAAUCAAAGUUUCCAACCAGUGGAAACGAAUUAUCAAAUUUGCAUUAAGGACUCUGAAUUUAUAGUAUUGGAGCAUGAAAUGAGAGGCAAAUUCUCCAAGAUUUUUCUUCCUCCCAAAGAGUUGCAUUUUGUUUGUUACAAGAAAACGGUCACUAAAUUAAUUUGUCAAAUAUGCCACUCUGAAAAAAUAACAGUCAUCUUGUAAUUGCUGAUGAGAGUACAUUCAUACGAUUCAGUGUUGGGAUUCACAGAUUUAUGGUGCUUAUAAGAUUUCCGGUUGCCCACUUCUGUCAUUGA
Cryptomeria japonica (Japanese cedar) is the source of this 2018-nucleotide long non-coding RNA. RefSeq lists it as uncharacterized. The transcript is spliced from 2 exons. The record is from RefSeq and is a predicted model, not a curated record. Lineage: Eukaryota; Viridiplantae; Streptophyta; Pinopsida; Cupressales; Cupressaceae.